RNAcentral lists this ribosomal RNA (355 nucleotides) under uncultured bacterium. RNAcentral's name for it is "bacterial SSU rRNA". It matches the Rfam family "Bacterial small subunit ribosomal RNA", at positions 29 to 406 of the family's 1533-position model. The record is from RNAcentral.
AACGAACGCUGGCGGCAGGCCUAACACAUGCAAGUCGAGCGGACGUAGCAAUACGUCAGCGGCGCACGGGUGAGUAACGCGUGGGAACCUGCCCUUUGGUUCGGAACAACCCUGGGAAACUAGGGCUAAUACCGGAUAAGCCCCGUAAGGGGGAAAGAUUUAUCGCCGAAGGAGGGGCCCGCGUCCGAUUAGCUAGUUGGUGGGGUAAAUGGCCUACCAAGGCUUCGAUCGGUAGCCGGUCUGAGAGGACGAUCGGCCACACUGGGACUGAGACACGGCCCAGACUCCUACGGGAGGCAGCAGUGGGGAAUAUUGGACAAUGGGGGAAACCCUGAUCCAGCCAUGCCGCGUGGGU